Molecule: long non-coding RNA, 591 nt
Organism: Microplitis mediator
Lineage: Eukaryota; Metazoa; Arthropoda; Insecta; Hymenoptera; Braconidae
Exons: 3
Source: RefSeq, a predicted model, not a curated record
AAAAUUCGGAGUGCCAUAGUCUUUAUAAUAUCUCGCUGUCACAUGUAGAGUUAACUAAUUAACGUUUGUUAUGUUGUUUAGUUUCGUAUUAUCUAGAAUUUCACAGGGACUCUGUUACCCGACCACUAGCCCGGUUACUUUUUACAUCGAAAACGUAAAUGCGCAGGCGCGCUGCUUUAGAGGGCCAAAGUUUUCCCAAUGAAGGCCAAUGGAGCUCUUUCACUUUAUUCAAACAAAAGCUUAUCGCAUCAAUGGAUUAAUUUUUUUUCCUAUCUAGUUUUUAAGGGAAACCGAGAGCGGGAAAUAUUAGGGAGCGAGUCAACAUCAAGAAAGGACGGACCGAGUGCACUCAUUGUACGAGAGAUGGCGCCAGAGACUAGCCAAGUGCACGGAAUAUGUUUUGUCCACCGGACAACGCAAACUGACCAAACUGAUUAAAUUAUGACGUGCGAUUAAACAUUUUAGACCAACGUUUUUAUGAAAAACUUCGAUAGAAAAAAAAAAAAAAUCAUGAACUAGAAUUUUUUGAGGAAUAACGACAAAUAAUUAUUUGUAAUUAAGUAUAUCGUUAAUUAGUUUAAGUAAAUUAUA